GUCCAGCUGAUGACGAGUCGCAAAUAGGACGAAAUGCGCAUCCUGGAU
This 48-nucleotide non-coding RNA is filed under the name Trichobilharzia regenti. Lineage: Eukaryota; Metazoa; Platyhelminthes; Trematoda; Strigeidida; Schistosomatidae. The record is from RNAcentral.